GCCUUGCCAGCCCGCUACAGAAACUACAAAGGAAGUUGACGGGGGCCCGCACAAGCGUGGAGCAUGUGGUUUAAUUCGAUGAUACGCGAGGAACCUUACCUGGGCUCAAAUGUAUGUUGACGUAUUCUGAAAGGGAUACUUCUUCGGACAAUAUACAAGGUGCUGCAUGGUUGUCGUCAGCUCGUGCCGUGAGGUGUCGGGUUAAGUCCCAUAACGAGCGCAACCCCUAUCAUUAGUUGCCAUCAGGUCAAGCUGGGGACUCUAAUGAAACUGCCUACGCAAGUAGUGAGGAAGGUGGGGAUGACGUCAAAUCAGCACGGCCCUUACGUCCAGGGCUACACACGUGCUACAAUGGCCGGUACAGAGGGCAGCCACCCCGCGAGGGGGCGCUAAUCCCAUAAAACCGAUCGUAGUCCGGAUCGCAGUCUGCAACUCGACUGCGUGAAGUCGGAAUCGCUAGUAAUCGUGAAUCAGAAUGUCACGGUGAAUACGUUCCCGGGCCUU
Molecule: ribosomal RNA, 504 nt
Filed under: uncultured Sphingobacteriales bacterium
Lineage: Bacteria; Pseudomonadati; Bacteroidota; Sphingobacteriia; Sphingobacteriales
Description: bacterial SSU rRNA
Rfam family: Bacterial small subunit ribosomal RNA
Source: RNAcentral